UACGUAUGGUGCAAGCGUUAUCCGGAUUUACUGGGCGUAAAGGGAGCGCAGGCGGCGCGCCAAGUCUGAUGUGAGACCCCGGGGCUCAACCCCGGGCAUGCAUUGGAAACUGGCGGGCUGGAGUGCCGGAGAGGUAAGCGGAAUUCCUAGUGUAGCGGUGAAAUGCGUAGAUAUUAGGAGGAACACCAGUGGCGAAGGCGGCUUACUGGACGGCAACUGACGCUGAGGCUCGAAAGCGUGGGGAGCAAACAGG
RNAcentral lists this ribosomal RNA (253 nucleotides) under uncultured bacterium. RNAcentral describes it as "partial 16S ribosomal RNA". It matches the Rfam family "Bacterial small subunit ribosomal RNA", at positions 524 to 776 of the family's 1533-position model. The record is from RNAcentral.